Capsicum annuum is the source of this 611-nucleotide long non-coding RNA. RefSeq lists it as uncharacterized. Lineage: Eukaryota; Viridiplantae; Streptophyta; Magnoliopsida; Solanales; Solanaceae. The transcript has 3 exons. The record is from RefSeq and is a predicted model, not a curated record.
AAAAGGACUAGUUUCCUAAUCCUAAAAGUAUAUCCGCCUCCUUCAUAGAUGCUUCCUUUCCCUACUUGACGAUUCAAGCUGUUACUGCGUUGAGAGCUUAAUACUGAGCCUUCUUCACAGAAGCAAGUACUCCUUUCUUUCACACUUUACUGUAACUCAUACUAGCUGAACAUCAAUAUUGAUUGUGUUGCAACUUCAUUCUCUACAAAAUGAGAUAAAGGAUAUAUAUUUGGUCAGCUAAGUUGGAUCCUGUCUUCUAAUUAAAGUUGUAAUAGCCAAGGUGUAAAGAUGUUGAGGAUGAUAACAGGUAGACCAAGUCCAAGUGGAUUUGAAUCAGCUACAACUGCUGAACAAGUUACUGAGGACAUUGAUGGCUCAAAACUUACUGCUAUUGUUACAGGGUCUAAGGCUCAGUCCAGGGCCCCACUAAGCUGUAGAUUUGUCAGACAACAGUGUACAGUCGGUGAGCCUCCCUUACUUUGAAAGGACAUUUUUAUAGCAUUGUUACUUCAUUGUAGUACAGCUCCAACUGGGGGCCUUGUCCCAGCUUUAAGUAAGAUAUUGACUUUGAUGUAUUAGAGAUUUCGCAGACUAAUGGUAGAUAUUGUUGG